Molecule: ribosomal RNA, 235 nt
Filed under: uncultured Glomus
Lineage: Eukaryota; Fungi; Glomeromycota; Glomeromycetes; Glomerales; Glomeraceae
Description: partial 18S ribosomal RNA
Rfam family: Eukaryotic small subunit ribosomal RNA
Source: RNAcentral
UUGGAGGGCAAGUCUGGUGCCAGCAGCCGCGGUAAUUCCAGCUCCAAUAGCGUAUAUUAAAGUUGUUGCAGUUAAAAAGCUCGUAGUUGAAUUUCGGGGUUAGUAGGUUGGUCAUGCCUCUGGUAUGUACUGGUCUCACUGAUUCCUCCUUCCUUAUGAACCGUAAUGCCAUUAAUUUGGUGUUGCGGGGAAUUUGGACUGUUACUUUGAAAAAAUUAGAGUGUUUAAAGCAGGC